Molecule: ribosomal RNA, 253 nt
Filed under: uncultured bacterium
Lineage: Bacteria
Also listed under: 1 other name
Description: partial 16S ribosomal RNA
Rfam family: Bacterial small subunit ribosomal RNA
Source: RNAcentral
UACGUAGGGCGCGAGCGUUGUCCGGAUUUAUUGGGCGUAAAGAGCUCGUAGGCGGCCUGUCGCGUCUGCCGUGAAAUCUGGGGGCUUAACCCUCAGCGUGCGGUGGAUACGGGCUGGCUGGAGGCAGGCAGGGGAGAAUGGAAUUCCCGGUGUAGCGGUGAAAUGCGCAGAUAUCGGGAGGAACACCGGUGGCGAAGGCGGUUCUCUGGGCCUGUUCUGACGCUGAGGAGCGAAAGCGUGGGGAGCGAACAGG